UAAUGAACACGUGGAGGGAGCUCUUCAUGCCCCUGUGUAUUGGACAACCCGCAGCACACUGGUGUGAGCUUUGGGUACCACUGUCGCAGAUCUUCCCAGGACUCAGAAUGGUCGGUCUGUUAGUGGAGGUGCAGCGUGCAGCUUUGCCGACUGCAUAAUUUAUAGUGCACUGUAGCAUCCUGACUUUCACUUAAGUACAGAAAUGGCUUGCUGAGAAUCGUUCAUGGAUUCAGAAACCAGGCAUUCAGAGUGGGUGCCUCCAGCCUGUCUCGUUCCUCUACUGAGGAUUGGCUGGCAGCAGAGGCUGCUGGCAUUGCACAAUUGGCUUGGAUGUGAAAUUACCCAACAGAAGCACACCUCCCACUUCCACCCUGUGACUCAGGCUUCUGCCACCAGGCUGAGCCGAGAGACUGAGGGCAUGCUACCAACUACACGAUGCUGCCCUGCCUUUAUCACAGAUGUUGCUGCUGCAGAGGGCGAGCGCUCCUGCCUCACACCCCACAGACACCAGGGAGCCUUCACAAGCCUUGGAGAUUUUCACCCGAAAUUGUGAUGUCAUCAGGAGCCAUUUUUUAAUGUGGAUGAACGCGGGACCUCAGAUGCUAGGACUGACAUGACGUGGGGGUCCUGAAGCUCGCUUUGAUGGUCUGGUCAGCUGUCCGUGCAGCGCAGUAGGAUGUCAGUCUGCCCCAGGAGGAGGGGCUUCUGUUGAUCUGUGAAUCGAUGCCGAGAAACAAACAACAUACUGAAAGUAUCCGUUCUCCUUUAUCUAGAAGAAAGUCCUGGGAAUUACAGGGUGGGGCCUCUCGGGCCUUCGGAAGCCUGGUGCUGCUGAGACCUCUCUCGGGCAUGCACUGUGGCACGUGGUGUGGAGAUGGCAUGGGACAGUGGGGUCACCAGUGUCCAUGGAAGCCAGGUCUGCUGCCAGCACAUGCUGACUCCUAGUGUUUCUCCUUGUUUCAGUUUGCAAGAUGCUGGCAUUGGAUUCAUCUUGGUCAUAGACCGAAGGCAGGACAAAUGGACCUCUGUGAAGGCAUCCGUCCUGCGGAUAGCCGUAAGUACCUCUCGGGCUCCACACACGCCUGGAGGGUGGCAGCUCCCUGCUUUUCUGUCUAGUUUGUGUGGAAGGUGGGGGAUUGAGGUGACAGUCAGGGGACCUAGUCAGGGGUAGGCUGAGCCAUGCCAGGCCCACGGGGGGCUCCUGAAUUGUGGGCAUGUUUUCUCCCGUGGUGGUCACACUCGGGGGGUCUGUUGUGAUCCUCUCAGUAACAGCUUGGAAGUUGUGAGCAGAGAAGGUUCUGAGCACGUUGGACUUCAGGCUAGAAGUUGGACACUGAAUCCAGUCAUUGUUCCUAAACAGCUCUCUCCUUUCCAUGUAGGGCUGUUUAACGUUAGUCCUGAGAUGUGUUGGUCCUUGCUACCCAGCCCGCCCCUCGUAGCACACAGAGUCCCCUCAGUUCUAGGGACCUUCAGCCGUGAAGUUGCGGGACUUGCUGGCGGCUUCAGCUUGCAGUUGCUAUUUCAGAAUAGUUAAGACUGAGACAGCAGAAAUCCUGUUUCCGCAGCCGUUCCGCCCACAAACAGACACGAUGUGGGCCGAGUCUUCCAAAACGAGUCCACCCACACUUGCUGUCCCCACCUAUCAUCCACAGCUUCAUGAAGGACCCAAAAGUUUGGUGGUUCACUAACAAGCACCAUGGCUCAGGGCUAGGAUUGUUUAGCUGCUCCCGAAGUCUCUGGGCAACUGAUCCCAUGGUGUUAUGUUCUCUGACCCUGCUCUGAGUCAGGCAUUCACAGUUGACCUUGGGUCGUCACCCACCACCACCACCACCGACCGGGCUGCUGUGCCAAGGGUUAGGUGCUAUAAGAAACCCAUUCCUCUUUAAGGAAAAUGAAAGGCUCUUGGCUACUGUGAUUUUCACAGCCUGCAGUCUGGGCGCAAACCUGUCUCUCAUAGAGCAUCAUCCUGUAACUACCUCGUGAGUUCUGCAGGAGAGCCUAGACGUGAGCAAGCUCCCAUCCUCUGCCUCCACCCUCAAGUAGCCUUCCUGUCAUCAUUGAUGUGAAAUAGUAAGACACAGCACCAUUACACAGUAACUGUCCUGGCCCCGGUGUCUGGAAGGUGCUUCCGAUGUCCCAUCAACUGUGGACAGACCUGUGUCUCCACUGUGACUACCCAGCAGCCAUCGGGGCAGCUUCUGCUCCUUCACUCACUUCUGCUCCCACCUCUUCAGAGCUGAGGCUCCUUCUCCACAGCUCCUGCUUAGCCUCUGUCUUCACAGAGUGCAACCCCAUCGGGCCAGCAUGAACAGGAUUUCUUCGCACACGUAUCACGUGUGCUCACCUGGUCUUGCGUCUGGAGUGGCAGUGCGAAUGCGCAUGUGUGUGUGUGUGCAUGCAGCCUGCAUGUGUACUUUGAAAAUUACACACUUAUUUAUUAUUAGGGGAGCCCAUGUGGUGUGCAGAGGUCAGCGGACAACUGGAGCAAGUCCGCUUUCUCCCUUCUAACACGUGGGUCCUAGGACCCUUCACCUCCUGAGCCAUCUGUAUUAUCCAGUAAGUCACUCCCAGGUUAGAAGAUGUGUUUCCAAAUACAAAGUAUUUUCCCAGGAAACAGAAAUUCUGCUUUAAGACUGAAGCAGUCCUGUGGUCCUGCCCAACAGGAGGCUUUGGUGCCUCGCAUACCCCGGUACAUGCUGGGCCCCUCUUGUCAACUGUGAAUGUAGAUGAACUUAUUAGAACAAGGUUUCUGAAAGGGUUUCUGAAGCAAGUUGGCUCAUCUUUAAAACUGUGCUUUGUGAACACAGUGGCUGUAAGGAAAGAAUUUGACUUUUAUUUUUAUACUGUCUUCUGUUUCUCUGUUAUUGUUGCCUGCUUCUUGAGUUGGAGUCUCACUCUAUAGUUGAGCCUGGUCAAGGCUCUCUAACCCUCCUGGCCCAGCCUCCCAAACGCUGGAGUUGUAGGUGCACACUACCAUGCUUAGCUUGCAUUGAUUCUUACAGUAUAAAACAGGAGGUGUUUUUCCUGUGACUGUUAGCAUUAGCCAGAGCUAGGGAGUAGCAGAAGCUACCAUUUAUUCCAGCAAAAUUGUCAUGAAUUUGCUUUGAUCUCCAGAAAUGUCCAAUGGUCUUAACACAAAUCCAGCAGGUAGG
Molecule: long non-coding RNA, 3152 nt
Filed under: Mus musculus (house mouse)
Lineage: Eukaryota; Metazoa; Chordata; Mammalia; Rodentia; Muridae
Description: long non-coding RNA chr8:12983896-12987048
Source: RNAcentral